UACGUAGGGUGCGAGCGUUAAUCGGAAUUACUGGGCGUAAAGACGUGCGCAGGCGGUUUUGUUAAGUCAGAUGUGAAAUCCCCGGGCUCAACCUGGGAACUGCGUUUGAAACUACAAGGCUAGAGUGUAGCAGAGGGUAGAAUUCCACGGUGUAGCAGUGAAAUGCGUAGAGAUGAUGGAGGAAUACCAAUGGCGAAGGCAGCCCUGGGU
RNAcentral lists this ribosomal RNA (210 nucleotides) under uncultured bacterium. Its description in RNAcentral is "partial 16S ribosomal RNA". It matches the Rfam family "Bacterial small subunit ribosomal RNA", at positions 524 to 734 of the family's 1533-position model. The record is from RNAcentral.